GCGUAUAAAGAAGGCUUUGACAUGAAUUGGACUAAUACGAUUCGCGCACCGACGAAAUAAGAGCCGGAAUCAUGAGGAAAUAUCAGAUUUACGUGAUUUGUUUUGUUGUUUUGGCUUUUGCCGCUGCCACAGCUACAAGAGUUUGCAGCAACAGAAAUAUCUUGUGCUCUGUGGUUAGAUCAACUAGUUGUUCAAAGAAAAUCGUUUCCAGUCAUUGCCCAAGGCUUUGCAACACAUGUGGAGGUAAUACGGCUUCUUACACUUGAGGGGGUUGUCAUUGCAUUUUAGUUGUGAAUCUACCUAAUUUGUUUCGUAAUAACAAAAUGUCGAAACAUAAAGGCGUCAAUGCGCGUUGAUUGUGGCUACCAUGGAAUUAGUCCGUUGGAUUGCUUGAGAAGGGGAUGUUGUUAUGGCGAAUUAAAGGUGGCUGGCCCGUGGUGUUAUCAUCGAAAAGGUAAAUUUUCGACUAUGUUUUCGGCAUUAACACUGACAAUUUGGGCCACUAAUUAUUUCUCCAAAUACUCUAGCAAACUGUCCCAUGAUUGAAGCAAAAAAACGUGAAGAUUGUGGUUACCCUGGGAUAAGCAAAUCAGAUUGCGUCAAAAAAGGAUGCUGUUACAACGCGAUCAAGGAAAAGGGACCGUGGUGUUAUUACAGGCAAGGUAAGUUGUUCCGCUCUUACUGAUUAGGUAUUUUGAAAGCAUUGUGUACUCUUCUAUCCGUAUUUUUGUUUUUAGAAAAAUGCCGGAAAAUUGCAGCAACAAGACGUCAUGAUUGUGGUUAUCCAGGCAUAACGAAGCGGGCAUGCGAGAAGAAAGGCUGUUGUUAUAGUGAAUUGCUAAACCAAAGUGGACCGUGGUGCUAUCACCGCCUAGAAAAAUGUCUGCGCAAAGCAACAGAACGUGACGACUGCGGCUAUCCUGGUAUAACAGAAUUCGAAUGCAUGAAAAGAGGUUGCUGCUAUAAUUCAUUGCCCGGUCGUGGGCCAUGGUGUUAUUACCGAUGAGAUACGAGGACCUUCGGAAGAUUAUAUGCGAACUUUAGUGUACUCAUUGUUGUAAAAAUAUGUUGUCAAAUAAAUACCUAUAUAUGAACUUUUCCUUCCCAAUAAGAUCCAGUAGGAGAUGAAUGA
Molecule: long non-coding RNA, 1132 nt
Organism: Hydractinia symbiolongicarpus
Lineage: Eukaryota; Metazoa; Cnidaria; Hydrozoa; Anthoathecata; Hydractiniidae
Exons: 4
Source: RefSeq, a predicted model, not a curated record